RNAcentral lists this ribosomal RNA (568 nucleotides) under uncultured fungus. RNAcentral describes it as "eukaryotic LSU rRNA". The stretch from base 35 to 188 matches the Rfam family "5.8S ribosomal RNA". Lineage: Eukaryota; Fungi. The record is from RNAcentral.
AGUCUAUGAAUGUAAAAUUUUUAUAACAAAUAAAAACUUCAAACAACGGAUCUCUUGGCUCUCGCAUCGAUGAAGAACGCAGCGAAAUGCGAUACGUAAUGUGAAUUGCAGAAUUCAGUGAAUCAUCGAAUCUUUGAACGCAUCUUGCGCUCUCUGGUAUUCCGGAGAGCAUGUCUGUUUGAGUGUCAUGAAUUCUUCAACCCAAUCUUUUCUUGUAAUCGAUUGGUGUUUGGAUUUUGAGCGCUGCUGGCUUCGGCCUAGCUCGUUCGCAAUACAUUAGCAUCCCUAAUACAAGUUUGGAUUGACUUGGCGUAAUAGACUAUUCGCUAAGGAUUCGGUGGAAACAUCGAGCCAACUUCAUUAAGGAAGCUCCUAAUUUAAAAGUCUACCUUUUGAUUAGAUCUCAAAUCAGGCAGGAUUACCCGCUGAACUUAAGCAUAUCAAUAAGCGGAGGAAAAGAAACUAACAAGGAUUCCCCUAGUAGCGGCGAGCGAAGCGGGAAAAGCUCAAAUUUGUAAUCUGGCGUCUUCGACGUCCGAGUUGUAAUCUCGAGAAGCGUCUUCCGCGC